Molecule: non-coding RNA, 24 nt
Filed under: Arabidopsis thaliana (thale cress)
Lineage: Eukaryota; Viridiplantae; Streptophyta; Magnoliopsida; Brassicales; Brassicaceae
Source: RNAcentral
GAGAUGCCGAUGGAAUGUUACUCA